Molecule: long non-coding RNA, 1078 nt
Organism: Setaria italica (foxtail millet)
Lineage: Eukaryota; Viridiplantae; Streptophyta; Magnoliopsida; Poales; Poaceae
Exons: 2
Source: RefSeq, a predicted model, not a curated record
UUUUUAGUGUCCGCGUAUUUUUAUGGGAAAGAUUGGGAAGGUGUUGAAAAUUUUGGGACAAUUUCAAGAAGGUUUUGGUUGGUUAGUACUUAAGUCUUGAAAUAGGGCGCAGCGGUAGACUCUCGCUUCUUCUUGUCCCUCGCUGCUACAGUUGAGAGAGGGCGGCGAGGAGGCGAUCCGUUUCCGGAGCCGAUUUCCUCCGUUCCCCUUCCCCUCUGGCUGCCGUAUCGGCGCCGCCGGAGAGGAAGGGGAACGGGAUUGAGGCUGACGGUGUAUAUAUCUUCUCCUAAUCUAGGUAAUUCAGGUAGGGUAGAUUUUGUUUCCCCGUCGGUGUCAUCGCCGGCUUGGGAUUGGUGGUUUCCUUGGCUUCUUGAACAUCGAUCUCAUCUUAUCUGGUGACAUCGGUGGCUCAAAGAAGUUGAGGAUAGUCUUUCCUGGUGGUGUUCGCUUGGUGGAGGUGGCGCCACUGCUAUGGAAUAAGUUCCUCUGGCCUGAUUUCCACCUCGUCGGUGCGUCCUCCGGUACCGUCGACGGGCGCGGGAGGAAGGAGCCUGAUGGCUUCUGGAUAGGAGCCUUCUACUCGGCGCUCCAACCAGCUUUGAUUUGGGUGUCGGUGGCUCUCUACAGAGAGACAGCUGGUAGGUUGGUGCUUGUGCGGUGGGUGGAUUUGUGCUCUGUUCUCGCCGCUUGCCGGCGUAGUGUGCAGGUCCACGGCCGGCGAAGUAUGGGGUGCGUCCCCGGCCGAUAUUCCUCCUCUGUUUGGUUCUUUUGGGCUCAGUUCAAAGCCUUUGUGCGAUGGUACUUCGUCUGGCCUCGGUGCUCUUGCCGUUCUUCUUCUGCUCCGGCAGUGGCCUCGGCAACGACGGCGGUGGACGACGAGCGGUCUGUAUGCGUACGUCUCCAACUCUCCUACAGGAUUUCGACGAGAUCGGCAUCAGCGUUCGGCGACGCGGCUUCUGUCUUGAACCUCUUCAUCUUUAUGAUGACUUCUCAAUCCAGUUCUUAGUAUUACAAAACGUAUGGAGUUAUAUAAUAAAAUUACUUUGGUUAUUUAUAUUGGUAAAGGUCAAGUUUUUAU